GACAGUGUUGUGCAGUGGUUUGGGUGUUGGACUGCUACUCUGCAGACCAGGGUUUGAUUCCCAGCUUGGCCC
Molecule: transfer RNA, 72 nt
Filed under: Phrynosoma platyrhinos (Desert horned lizard)
Lineage: Eukaryota; Metazoa; Chordata; Lepidosauria; Squamata; Phrynosomatidae
Description: tRNA-OTHER
Source: RNAcentral